This is a long non-coding RNA of Triticum aestivum (bread wheat), 2643 nucleotides long. RefSeq lists it as uncharacterized. The record is from RefSeq and is a predicted model, not a curated record. The transcript has 4 exons. NCBI's taxonomy places the organism in Eukaryota, Viridiplantae, Streptophyta, Magnoliopsida, Poales, Poaceae.
UUUCUUUUUUUCCAGGGGGCAGCCAUGGCAGGGAGGGGGGGCGAUGCUGCGCUCCGGCGCCGCAUCAGGCGGCUGCAGGGAGGUGGGAGCCACGCGCGGAGACGAAUGAGGAGAUAAUGAAGAGGCAUGGGGGAGAGGCGGGUGAGCGGGAAGGGCCGGGGCAUCGCCCACGAUGCAGGCGAGCGGGAAGGGCGGCGGCCUUGCGGUGGCACAGUCGGCGAGGCCCUGUCGGAUCUUGCCGGGUCCGGUCAGAAAUGGCACGCAAGCGGCGGAUCUGCAAGGAAGGCGGCCGGAGCUUGGAGCAUGACGGUUGGCGCGCACGGCAUGGCCGGUGUCGGGUACCCGUCAGAGAAGAGAGAGAUGCGCGGGAGAGAAAAGAGACGAUGGGAAGGAGAUGGAAGGCCGGAGGAAGAGAGAAGGGAGUGGUAGUCCUGCUGCUGCUCGCCGGUGGCUAGCUGGAACUGCAGCCCCGCGCAUCACGUGGUGACGCCAAGGCCCAGGUCUUCUUGACCCGUUGCCUCAUUCUUUCCCAGGGUAAAAAUCUAGGCUGGAUCGCUAGCUUCCUCCAAGGGCAAGAUCGCCGCCUCUGCCAGCACUAAGAAAACAACUGGCGAAGGCAAGGCGGCCAAGGUCUUCUCCCAAACCGGCCAGAAGUUUGAAACAGCAGAGGAGAUCGAGCGGCAAGACACGGGGCCUCAACAUGCAUGGGUUGUCUUUUGUUGAGUCAUACUUGAAUUUCCCUCCACAAAAAAUCGCACGUGAAUUAUGAAGUUAACUACCAUGACGUCUAGGUACUUAUUGCUGCCACUGCUCACAGGUUAUUUUGAUGGUGUUUUUUGCUGAGCGUCUUGCAUGGACAAUCCUUCCAAAUUUCAAUAUAUGCAUUCAUGUUUCUCUUAACUUCUAACUUCUAAGGCACGAAGACUGGACAUUCCUAUGGUGACUCUCUGAUUUAUGGUCAAAAAGUUGUUCACAUUUGUUUUUGAUUUCUCCCCUAAAUAUCUGAAGACAAAUGAUUUUUAUCAUUGGCUAUACCAGAUAAUUCAAAUAGUCCCUAAUCUUGCCCAUGCAUUUUUUGUUUAAGUUUGACUUUCGUAUGAGAUAAUCUGGAGAAAUUUAUGUUGUUUCCGGUGGCAAAGUGCAACAUGAACUGUUGUUGCAAGUCCACCAUAUUUUCUCAAAUUUUAGAAGCUAUUCAUUGGCAUGUAUUUUAUUAGUUUUAUUAGUGCUUCCAUUACUUUCUAUUAAAAUAUGCUUAAUGGGCUAAAGGCUGUACCUUUUCAGAAAGUUGCAGUGUGUGGUAUGUUUGCUGAACUUGUGAUGGAAGUUCUUCACGCAGGACCUUCGUCCAUAUAGAUUUUAACUUUAAACAUUAUUAUAUUUUGGACAAAUGAUGUGUUUACUGAAUUGUCAUUGUUUUUUUGAAGUUAUACCAUUCGUAAUAUUGCAUUGUAGAUAGACAAAAAGAUAUAGGUAUUAAUUUUUGUGGCUCUAGCAUAAAUGUUUAUCACCACGGUGACAUUUCUUGUUCAAUUUAGAUAAGGAAAAAAACAAGUAUUAAACAGAAAGUAGAGAGGAUAAGAGCAUUGUUGUCCAGGGUGGUUCAUGCCAAAGACUGUAACAAAAUAAUUCCUUAUGGUAGUGCAAAUCAUUGAUGAUGCAGCGGAAGUUACACAAGUUCUGCUAGAAUUUCUCUCAGAUAACAUGGAUGGAGGUGAGUUUUGCAUAAUCCAUCUCAGUAAGAAGCUUGCAUUGAGUAAUUCUUUUCAAAAAGCUUACCAUGCGCAACUACAUGAUACUUGCAGUUCUUAGUGUCAAUUGACAGCGACAUUCUUCAAUGGGAAACCUUGCAUAUAAUUGUCUUGAGUACAACAAUACAUGAUUUUCUGGCAAUAAAAUGUUCAUGAUUGAUGCAUAAUGUGUGCUCUGUCCGCAUUUUAAUUAUUUAUAUUAAUAUUUCUGGUUAUCACUGCAGGAGUUGCAAUGGAGUUGAUGAGGGAAGUCUGCAAUCCAGACUGCUAAGUGGUAACCACUCCGGAUUUUAUGGAUAGUAAAUGGUCCACUGCUAUUGACAGGCACAUAAUAUGAGAGAUAUGUGUGGUUCGUGGCUGCUAAACGGUCGUCCCCUCGAAGACAUGGACAAGGUGCGUGUGGUUCACAACGCGACCUCAUGUCUUACCACGUCAACCAGCCGGUGCCCAUCAUCAGACAUGCUCUUCUCCUGGACGUCAUUGGGAAGAAGCCCAUCUCUUUUGAUCUGUUUGUGCCCUUCACUAGUGCCCAUGGAGUCGGACUGAGAGUUUCUCAGGGGUGUGACACAAACUACUUGAGUUUAAACUAAUUUCCGUCUCUACUGAAAUUUUCUUUUAAAAAUUUAAAGUAUGCUAAUGCUUUUUUUUUAUUGUUCAGGUAGAUUCCAGCACGAGUGUUCACCUUUUUUUCUGCAUGUAAUGAGAAUGUUGUGGCUAAUAGGUUUAAAAUUGUCAUUUUAGUUUCCCCUCAAAUUAUAUUUUGUCAUUUUGCUAUCAUUCAUUGAAAUUAUGGAACACACAAAAGAAGUAUAAGCAGCGACAUAUGCCAACAUGGAUAAACCUAUGUGGAUGGGGUAUUUCAUUCAUUUUAUUUUAGGAUGUGAUUUUUGUU